CGUUCAGAUGCGUUUCCAGCAAUGUGCCCCCAAGUAAACGCAAGCUUUCCAUAUUAAACAUAUACAGCUCAUAGUAUUGUUUUGGAGUAAGUGCAGAAUUUCUCAUUUCCACGAGACUAAUACUGCAAUUACGAAAUGCAUCCAUCAAUCGUCCUGUCUGCAAGUUUCUUUGCAUCAGCCUACUAGACUGCUUGCAAAUAUUUAAGGACUCUUCCAAGCUCCUUGUAAUUUCUUCGUUAGCAGUAUUAAUUCCGUUCAUAGAGCCCUAAAUAUCCACUUCCAAGUGUUUC
Molecule: non-coding RNA, 290 nt
Organism: Schizosaccharomyces pombe (fission yeast)
Lineage: Eukaryota; Fungi; Ascomycota; Schizosaccharomycetes; Schizosaccharomycetales; Schizosaccharomycetaceae
Source: the annotation of a GenBank genome assembly